Non-coding RNA from Ictidomys tridecemlineatus (thirteen-lined ground squirrel), 1232 nucleotides. The record is from RefSeq and is a predicted model, not a curated record. NCBI's taxonomy places the organism in Eukaryota, Metazoa, Chordata, Mammalia, Rodentia, Sciuridae.
UUGGGUAAGAAUCAGCAGGAAUGUCAUCAACAAUGCAGAUUCUUGGGCCACACCCUUGCCAAUUGGAUUCUGGAAUUCAAUCCAACUGGGUCCGGGAAUCUGCAUCUUGGACCAGAAUAAGAGGAAACUGUGGAUUCUGAGAGGGAAGGGGAGAGAGAGAUAGAAAGAGAGAGAGCUACCCACAGCUCUCUCUUCCACCUGGAAAGAGGCACCAGGCCCUUUGGGACAUAGGAGCUCCACACGGAUGCUUAUGCUAUUCCCACUGCUAUGAGGAUUACCUUCUCACCUGCUAAGAUUCCACUUGGGGCCAUCUGCUCCCAAAGUCACCUCUGGCGCCUCCCAGUCUGACCUAGACACCCUGCCCUGCAAUGAUGGUGACUUCUUACCCUGAGCUGUGCAUUCCUAUGCAUUCCUACACGGUGCUGUUGAAAUCCUGUUGUCGUGCCUGCCUUCCCAAGGGAACCCCUGGCUCUUUCACUGAGCCACACCAAACACUUGGGCUCCAGAGCAGCCACAGCUGCCAGGGAAAAUCCACUAUGGGACUUUCCUGUGGGGCCAUUGAUGAGCCAGAACCAUUGGCCUGAACUUGACUCCAGCAGAGCACACGAGGACAACAGUCUCCAGGACUUGGCCUCCCUCACUCUAGCCCUGCGGGGUCACUAGGCAAAACAGUUUCCAAUUAUACGGAGUAGCCUCUGAGGACAUGAAGCCUCCCAUGAAGAUGGACAGGACACAUCUCUGGGGUUAUGUGGGGUCAAGCCCAAUGUCAUCUUCAUGCUUUGAAGCUCAUGGUGGGGCUCCUUGCUCAUCUUCCUGUCCUCCUGGGGCUGCCACCCACCCACUUCCUCCACCGCCCAGGCUAGGUGGGUAGUGCAGCUCUGGUUAAGGAAGCUUGGAGGUGCCAGCAGGGAACAGACUAAAUUGUGCAGGCAGUUUGCAUUAAUUAGAAUAACUUACCCAGACACCACUCUGGCUUCUAAGGAAAAUAAUGUAAACAUUCAAAACAUACUUAGGACACAGCCUAGGGUUUUUUUGCCAGGAGCAGGGAAGGAAGUUUAUGGGGUCUUCAGAUGUCUGAGAUUCUUACAGGGAUUUCUGGUCAUAGGCCUAGGUCCACUUUGCCCUUCCUUUCUAGGGGGGCACCAGAGCUCUCCACAUCUUUUGUUUUGUUUUUUUGGUGGGAGAAGGGUACCAGAGAUUUAACUCAAGGGCACUUAACCACUGAGCCACAU